AGUCCCAAAUAGGACGAAAUGCGCAUCCUGGAU
Molecule: non-coding RNA, 33 nt
Organism: Trichobilharzia regenti
Lineage: Eukaryota; Metazoa; Platyhelminthes; Trematoda; Strigeidida; Schistosomatidae
Source: Rfam